UACGUAGGGUGCAAGCGUUGUCCGGAAUUAUUGGGCGUAAAGAGCUCGUAGGCGGUCUGUCGCGUCGGCUGUGAAAACCCGGGGCUCAAUCCCGGGCCUGCAGUCGAUACGGGCAGACUAGAGUGCGGUAGGGGAGACUGGAAUUCCUGGUGUAGCGGUGAAAUGCGCAGAUAUCAGGAGGAACACCGGUGGCGAAGGCGGGUCUCUGGGCCGUAACUGACGCUGAGGAGCGAAAGCGUGGGGAGCGAACAGG
RNAcentral lists this ribosomal RNA (253 nucleotides) under uncultured bacterium. Its description in RNAcentral is "partial 16S ribosomal RNA". It matches the Rfam family "Bacterial small subunit ribosomal RNA", at positions 524 to 776 of the family's 1533-position model. The record is from RNAcentral.